AUGGCAUUCUGGCUGAACCUCAUGUCCUUGUUAGUUGUCCUCAGAGGUGUCCAAUCUGAGGUCCAGUUGGUGGAGUCCGGAGGGGAUGUGAGAAGACCUGGGGAGUCCCUCCAUCUCUCCUGCCAAGCCUCUGGAUUCACCUUCAGCGACUAUUUCAUGGGCUGGGUGAGACAGGCUCCUGGGAAAGGACUGGAAUUUGUGGCACGUACAUGGUCUUCGUAUAUUUACUACUCUGACAAAGUCAAGGGCCGCUUCACCAUCUCCAGGGACAAUGCCAAAAGCCAUCUGUAUCUGCAAAUGAACAGCCUUAAACCAGAGGACACAGCAGUCUAUUAUUGUCAGAGAGACACAAGUGGAAUAAACUACUAUUCCAGCUCAACAAGAAUUUUCUCAAGAACUGGUUGCCACAUCAUUGUCAUGGACAAGGAUUUAGAGAUACAGUGUCCUGAUGUCCAUUCCGCCAUCCAACUUGUGGAAUCUGGGACAGGAAGAGUGAGCCCUGGAGGAUCAUUAAGAUUAACUUGCAAAGUGACAGGGGAAUCCAUCAAGAAUAUGCUCCUUGCAUGGAUCCGCCAGUCUCCAGGAAAAGGAUUGGAAUGCGUGGGUGACAUAAAUUGGGAUGAUGAGGAUGGUGAAGUUUUCUCAAGAACCGGCUGCCACAUCAUUGUCAUGGACAAGGAUUUAGAGAUACAGUUUCCUGGUAGUUGA
This is a non-coding RNA of Thamnophis elegans (Western terrestrial garter snake), 708 nucleotides long. NCBI's taxonomy places the organism in Eukaryota, Metazoa, Chordata, Lepidosauria, Squamata, Natricidae. The record is from the annotation of a RefSeq genome assembly.